This 1217-nucleotide long non-coding RNA is filed under the name Gopherus agassizii (Agassiz's desert tortoise). RNAcentral's name for it is "lncRNA (ENSGAGG00000002256.1)". The record is from RNAcentral. Lineage: Eukaryota; Metazoa; Chordata; Testudines; Testudinidae.
AUCUUGAGUACCAGACUUGGCCCACUGACCUUACAGACACAUCAGGAGUACCAUCUGAUCUGUGGUCGUGGAGACAUACUUGAACACUUUCUGGGUGGAAGUGUGGACAUUUACAGUGCUCCUUCCAAGCAUAUGGACCAGUUAGGGGGAUGUGGGCUCCCACAUACCAAAUCCUGACGGGUCCAUGGGGAGGACGCAUGUGGGACUGGAUUAUUCACCGAGACAUCUGGGAAAUUAGACCACCUAGAAUACCUAACUGAUUUAUAGUCAGUGCCCCUAGAAUAACACCUGAUAUUUUGGAUAGGAAUAGGGAGUCAAUGGACAUUUGGUUGUUAGAAACCCUACAGCUUUAGUAUAUCCAUAAACUGAAGCCAGGGGAAGUUGUCACUGCAUGAUAACGUUUGCUGGAAGGGUAGAGGACAAAGAACUAUCCUGACAGGACACCUACUUUUUCAAGCUAAUGAUAGCUGUGUGUAUGUUAAAACCACCACAUUGCAAGAUAUACNUACAUAUUAAUCUCAUUACCACUGCAAGCAAUCAUAUUGUUUGUUGGUCUGCAGAUAGAAUUUUGCAAGUAACCCUUAGUUUCCAGACACCCUUUAAUUGGACAGGUUAGUACCUGAUCGAUUUCAAGAUUUGCAUUCAUUGUUACCAGAGGUUCAAAGAAUCUCUGAAAUAUAAGGGCAAAUUUACAUGCUUCAAAAUAUAUAUCAAGCUGAAAAGAAUGCCUUUCAUACAGCUUAUAAAAUUUUUACUUUAUGUACUAGGUAUGAUAUAUUGUGCUUUGUGACCAAAACUAUACAACAACCCCAUCAUAUUAUUGCUUUGGGAAUGUUAUUGCUUGUAUUGCUGUUAGUUAGUUUAGGAUUAUGUUGUUGUUGUUGUAAAAUAAUAAUAAUACCUUUCAUGUCCAUGUUGUCAGAGGUGUGUUGUCAGAUGCUACCGGUGUGGUGCUCUGCUCUCUCCUUGUUGGUAUCACUGGGCUGCGUGCGUGUGUUCCCUCUGUGUGCUGCCCCAGCUCUGCGCAGAUAGCUGACACAGCAGACCCAAAGAGAACCCCCAAAACCACAGAGUCUUGUAAGGUACGAAGGCCCGUCGGCCAGGUUUAUUGCCUUAUGGACACAAUUGCAGUUCCCUGUAGGUUUCUUAACCUAACUCAGGGCAUACUACAAGAAAGUGCCUCUUGACAGUGGACUCGGCUCAAUCAGUGGCGGGAC